CCUACGGGAGGCAGCAGUGAGGAAUAUUGGUCAAUGGGCGUAAGCCUGAACCAGCCAAGCCGCGUGAGGGAUGAAGGUUCUAUGGAUCGUAAACCUCUUUUAUCAGGGAAUAAAGUGCGGGACGUGUCCCGUGUUGUAUGUACCUUAUGAAUAAGGAUCGGCUAACUCCGUGCCAGCAGCCGCGGUAAUACGGAGGAUCCGAGCGUUAUCCGGAUUUAUUGGGUUUAAAGGGUGCGUAGGCGGCCUUUUAAGUCAGCGGUGAAAGGCUGGGGCUCAACCAUAGCAUUGCCGUUGAAACUGGGAGGCUUGAGUAGGAGAGAGGUAGGCGGAAUGCGUGGUGUAGCGGUGAAAUGCAUAGAUAUCACGCAGAACCCCGAUUGCGAAGGCAGCCUGCC
Molecule: ribosomal RNA, 395 nt
Filed under: uncultured bacterium
Lineage: Bacteria
Description: partial 16S ribosomal RNA
Rfam family: Bacterial small subunit ribosomal RNA
Source: RNAcentral